This 219-nucleotide ribosomal RNA is filed under the name uncultured bacterium. RNAcentral's name for it is "partial 16S ribosomal RNA". It matches the Rfam family "Bacterial small subunit ribosomal RNA", at positions 15 to 224 of the family's 1533-position model. The record is from RNAcentral.
GAUCAUGGCUCAGGAUGAACGCUAGCGACAGGCUUAACACAUGCAAGUCGAGGGGCAGCGGGGAGUAGCAAUACUCUGCCGGCGACCGGCGCACGGGUGAGUAACGCGUAUGCAACUUGCCUAUCAGAGGAGAAUAGCUCAUCGAAAGAUGAAUUAAUGCUCCAUGAAACAAGGGGUCGUCGCAUGGGAAUAUUNUUAAGUAAUUACUAUCGCUGAUAG